This 71-nucleotide transfer RNA is filed under the name Loxodonta africana (African savanna elephant). It matches the Rfam family "tRNA". From Rfam's summary of the family: Transfer RNA (tRNA) molecules are approximately 80 nucleotides in length. Their secondary structure includes four short double-helical elements and three loops (D, anti-codon, and T loops). The record is from Rfam by way of RNAcentral. Lineage: Eukaryota; Metazoa; Chordata; Mammalia; Proboscidea; Elephantidae.
GCAGUGAUGGUUCAGUGGUAGAAUUCUUGGCUUUUAUGCAGGAGACCCAGGUUCAAUUCCCAGCUAAUGCA